RNAcentral lists this ribosomal RNA (119 nucleotides) under Stegodyphus mimosarum. The record is from RNAcentral. Lineage: Eukaryota; Metazoa; Arthropoda; Arachnida; Araneae; Eresidae.
UACAACGGCCAUACUAUGCUGAAAGUACCGGUUCUCGUCCGAUCACCGAAGUCAAGCAGCAUAGUGCGCGGUCAGUACUUGGGAGGGUGACCUUAUAAGAUGUCUCUGAAUAGUGUUAG